UGGGGAAUAUUGCACAAUGGGCGAAAGCCUGAUGCAGCGACGCCGCGUGAGGGAUGACGGCCUUCGGGUUGUAAACCUCUUUCAGCAGGGAAGAAGCGAAAAGUGACGGUACCUGCAGAAGAAGCGCCGGCUAACUACGUGCCAGCAGCCGCGGUAAUACGUAGGGCGCAAGCGUUGUCCGGAAUUAUUGGGCGUAAAGAGCUCGUAGGCGGUUAGUCGCGUCUGCUGUGAAAACUCGAGGCUCAACCUCGGGCUUGCAGUGGGUACGGGCUGACUAGAGUGCGGUAGGGGUGACUGGGAAUUCCUGGUGUAGCGGUGGAAUGCGCAGAUAUCAGGAGGAACACCGAUGGCGAAGGCAGGUCACUGGGCCGCAACUGACGCUGAGGAGCGAAAGCAUGGGGAGCGAACAGGAUUAGAUAGCCCUGGUAGUCCAUGCCGUAAACGUUGGGCACUAGGUGUGGGGUCCA
This 467-nucleotide ribosomal RNA is filed under the name uncultured bacterium. Its description in RNAcentral is "partial 16S ribosomal RNA". It matches the Rfam family "Bacterial small subunit ribosomal RNA", at positions 355 to 831 of the family's 1533-position model. The record is from RNAcentral.